This 433-nucleotide ribosomal RNA is filed under the name uncultured bacterium. Its description in RNAcentral is "partial 16S ribosomal RNA". It matches the Rfam family "Bacterial small subunit ribosomal RNA", at positions 29 to 507 of the family's 1533-position model. The record is from RNAcentral.
AACGAACGCUGGCGGCAUGCCUAACACAUGCAAGUCGAACGGGACCGUCUGGUCUAGUUGCUCACUUGUGCGUAACCCGUUGGAAACUGCGCUUAUGUUCGGAAUAUCUUCCCGAACGGAGUUCGGAUACCGGAUAAUGUCUUCGGUCCAAAUAUUGAUCGCCUUUGAGUGUGGCGGCGGUGGUGUAGCUAGUUGGUAGGGUGAAAGCCUACCAACGCGACGAUUCAUAGCUGGUCUGAGAGGCUGAGGAGCCACACUGGGACCGAGACACGGCACAGACUCCUACGGGAGGACGCAGUGGGGAAUCCUGGACCAUGGGCGCAAGCCUGAUGCAGCCAGGCCGCGUGAGUGAUGCACGUCUUAGGGUUGUAAAGCUCUUUUAGCCGGGAUGAUAAUGACAGUACCGGGAGAAUAAGCACCGGCUAACUACGUG